RNAcentral lists this long non-coding RNA (1120 nucleotides) under Chinchilla lanigera (long-tailed chinchilla). Its description in RNAcentral is "lncRNA (ENSCLAG00000027497.1)". Lineage: Eukaryota; Metazoa; Chordata; Mammalia; Rodentia; Chinchillidae. The record is from RNAcentral.
CCCGCCCAUGCUUGGAGAGUCACCCUUGUGCUAUUCCUGGAUACUGCAGCCUAAGUCCCCUAAAGGCUCUUCCAGAUGGCGUAUGUUUGCCUAUUCAUGAUUUCUGUCUCCACAGAGCAGGUUGAGCUGGUGACAUCAAAGGCCACUGGCACCGGAAGUGGCCAGCAGCAGUGAAGAACUUGGAAGCCCUUUUGUUCUGCAGUGCGUGUGAAUACCAGGCCCCUUGUUGUCCUCUGGGACCACAAGCUGGGAAAUAAAGUACCUAGUGGGGCUCUGCUGGCUCCCAGCUCUGAUGGAAGCAAACCUCACAAGAAAGACACCUUCAGAGGCUGUGGCAGGUUUCUCUCAGGAGAUGAGAAUCACACUGAGGAAAAGUAACCCAGACUCUUGGGAACCCCUGAGCAGUCCGGAAUUGAUCUGUAAGCUCCACGUGUUCCAGCGUCAUAAGAAUAGGAAAAUGAGUGAGACACAAGGUGAAGAGACAACAGCCAAGGAGGAGAAAGCGAUGUGCUUUCAGUCUGCCUGAAUGGUAGUGAGCCUCGCUUGAAUGGCAGGAGCUGGUCAGGAUGGGAGGUGACGUUUUUGAGGCUACGGCAGAAUGGCUGUUCGUCCUUCUAAUUCAAGACAUCUCUGAAACACCUUCCCAUUCAGUCUACAUAUUUCCAGGCCCAGCUCCUUGGAUCUCAUGUCUUCCCUGAAUGUGUUCUGUUGUCCACUUGCAACCCGCAUAACUGAUGGAAUCACGUCCUACAGAGCACUGCGUGGGAUCUAAAGGUCUCUUUAAGGUUGGGACGAUGCUGCAGGAAUCAAUAAAAGCUGCACUCACCUGACUAGACCGUGUGCAGCCCUGAGGAAUGUGCUUCUCUUGUGCUGUGUCUGUGACAGCUCUUUGAGAUGGGUAUUCAUUCCAUCCCAUUUAAAGAUGAGCUAACUGAGGGUCAGGUAUGUUGCACACAGCUAGUUUCUAGCAGAGUGGGGACUGGAGGCCUGGCAGGCAAGAUGCCCUCCCAUCUAAGGCCCAGGAACUAAGCUACCCUGCUCUCUUUGCAGCCCCUCAGACUUUAAGUGAUGCAUGGUUAAUUCAGCCUGCAGCAGCUGAAUUAAUAUUAGUGGUCCCGAG